GCGGCUCUCAUGCUCGGGUGGUCGUCAAACAGUUGCCACGACCGCCGGUUCAAGAUGUUCGACUUGGACAUCAGUUUCGUCUCGUCUGGAAAUUCCAACACGCAGGUCUUUCAUGAGGUCCUCGCAGCCAUGAAAGGCUUGAUAAGAAUUCACUCACCGGCGAUUAUUAUCAGUGUCGCAGACUUGGUACCCGACGUCCGUGAUGCCAUAGCUUUGGCUGCUUUCCAAGCAAACACCACCGUCUUACAGCUUCCCCGACGCGCCAUCGAACAUGCACUGUGGAUAGCCGACGUGAAAACAUCCGCUCUUCAACGUAAGCUACUUAAGCUUCUCGGGAACUUUCACUGACUUGCUAUACCUACAGAAUGGAACACGAUGAGAAUCUCGAUAAGCAUCAUCACGCAAAACAGACCUCGCUCGCUGAAGCGUCUGCUGGGAGCACUCGCCAGUGCAUACUACGUCGGCGACGAGAUCCAUCUAACUUUCAG
This 488-nucleotide long non-coding RNA is filed under the name Selaginella moellendorffii. Its description in RNAcentral is "long non-coding RNA (SMOE_LNC000911)". Lineage: Eukaryota; Viridiplantae; Streptophyta; Lycopodiopsida; Selaginellales; Selaginellaceae. The record is from RNAcentral.